RNAcentral lists this ribosomal RNA (301 nucleotides) under uncultured bacterium. Its description in RNAcentral is "partial 16S ribosomal RNA". It matches the Rfam family "Bacterial small subunit ribosomal RNA", at positions 509 to 807 of the family's 1533-position model. The record is from RNAcentral.
CAGCCGCCGCGGGAAUACGAAGGGUGCAAGCGUUAAUCGGAAUCACUGGGCGUAAAGCGUGCGUAGGCGGUGAGUUAAGUCAGAUGUGAAAUCCCCGGGCUCAACCUGGGAAUGGCAAUGGAUACUGGCAAGCUAGAGUGUGUCAGAGGAUGGUGGAAUUCCCGGAGUAGUGGUGAAAUGCGCGGAUACCGGGAGGAACGCCGAUGGCGAAGGCAGCCACCUGGUCCACUUCUGACGCUGAGGCACGAAAGCUAGGGGAGCAAACAGGAUUAGAUACCCCUGUAGUCCCUGUCUCUUAUAC